AUACGUAGGUGGCAAGCGUUGUCCGGAAUUAUUGGGCGUAAAGCGCGCGCAGGCGGUCCUUUAAGUCUGAUGUGAAAGCCCACGGCUCAACCGUGGAGGGUCAUUGGAAACUGGGGGACUUGAGUGCAGAAGAGGAAAGUGGAAUUCCAAGUGUAGCGGUGAAAUGCGUAGAGAUUUGGAGGAACACCAGUGGCGAAGGCGACUUUCUGGUCUGUAACUGACACUGAGGCGCGAAAGCGUGGGGAGCAAACAGGAUUAGAUACCCUGGUAGUCCACGCCGUAAACGAUGAGUGCUAAGUGUUGGGGGGUUUCCGCCCCUCAGUGCUGCAGCUAACGCAUUAAGCACUCCGCCUGGGGAGUACGGUCGCAAGACUGAAACUCAAAGGAAUUGACGGGG
Molecule: ribosomal RNA, 397 nt
Filed under: uncultured bacterium
Lineage: Bacteria
Description: partial 16S ribosomal RNA
Rfam family: Bacterial small subunit ribosomal RNA
Source: RNAcentral